GACGUAGGGGGCCAGCGUUGUUCGGAAUUACUGGGUGUAAAGGGUUCGUAGGCGGUGUGGCAAGUCGGGAGUGAAAUCUCUGGGCUCAACCCAGAGACUGCUUCCGAAACUGCUGUGCUUGAGUGUGAGAGAGGCUCGUGGAAUUGCAGGUGUAGCGGUGAAAUGCGCAGAUAUCAGGAGGAACACCAAUGGCGAAGGCAGCACUCUGGGACGUGACUGACGCUGAGACGCGAAAGCGUGGGGAGCAAACAGG
This 253-nucleotide ribosomal RNA is filed under the name uncultured bacterium. Its description in RNAcentral is "partial 16S ribosomal RNA". It matches the Rfam family "Bacterial small subunit ribosomal RNA", at positions 524 to 776 of the family's 1533-position model. The record is from RNAcentral.